Long non-coding RNA from Dermacentor silvarum, 704 nucleotides. RefSeq lists it as uncharacterized. The transcript has 4 exons. The record is from RefSeq and is a predicted model, not a curated record. Lineage: Eukaryota; Metazoa; Arthropoda; Arachnida; Ixodida; Ixodidae.
AAAUGUGGGUGUUUCCCGUAAGCUCUGAGAGACGGGUUGCGCGGAGCGAUCGGUCAGGAGUGCGACGUCGGUAGACGGCAAACGAUCUGUAGAACUGGCGAAGAGAUAGAAAGACAGGCCAUUGAGAACCGGGCACUAGAACUUAGGCUUCGGAAGUUAGCCUUAUAUAGCAGGUCAUGCGGAACUCAGCUUCGGAUUAUGCCUGGUACUUUUCCGCCUGACAUUUCCUGUUGAAACGAGAUAACGUUCGACGGACAGCCGAUGACACGAAAUAACUUUCCAUUUCGUCAUGGAUUCCAUUGGCCACAUCGCACUCCGACAGAGCAGCACGUCGACGCUAUCGUCUAUGUCAGCGUUGUGUUUGUGGUCUUUGCCACCAUAGUUCUGCUGCUCCUGGCGACCAAUUGCCGCAGUUUACCUCCGGCAGCUGCACCCCUGGCAGCCGAAGAGCCCCAGCCUCAGCCAACGAUUGUGCACCUCAAGAAUUCCGGUGUUUGUGUGCGCACUGAAACCUUUGCUGAGGACAACAUUGUGUGAACUGUGCCUGACACUGUCGAUUAGCUUCUCUUCACCAGCACAUUUGGAUAUGGCUAACAGUGUGGAGCCUAGAAAAGAAUACAAAUGGAGCUUGCAGUAACGUCUUCACUUCGAUAACGCAAAACUACCACCCUUGAACUUUUGCAAAAUAAAAAAAAGUUAAUAAA